RNAcentral lists this ribosomal RNA (465 nucleotides) under Vreelandella stevensii. RNAcentral describes it as "partial 16S ribosomal RNA". It matches the Rfam family "Bacterial small subunit ribosomal RNA", at positions 338 to 795 of the family's 1533-position model. The record is from RNAcentral. Lineage: Bacteria; Pseudomonadati; Pseudomonadota; Gammaproteobacteria; Oceanospirillales; Halomonadaceae.
CCUACGGGCGGCUGCAGUGGGGAAUAUUGGACAAUGGGGGGAACCCUGAUCCAGCCAUGCCGCGUGUGUGAAGAAGGCCCUCGGGUUGUAAAGCACUUUCAGUGAGGAAGAACGCCUGGUGGUUAAUACCCAUCAGGAAAGACAUCACUCACAGAAGAAGCACCGGCUAACUCCGUGCCAGCAGCCGCGGUAAUACGGAGGGUGCGAGCGUUAAUCGGAAUUACUGGGCGUAAAGCGCGCGUAGGUGGCUUGAUAAGCCGGUUGUGAAAGCCCCGGGCUCAACCUGGGAACGGCAUCCGGAACUGUCAAGCUCGAGUGCAGGAGAGGAAGGUAGAAUUCCCGGUGUAGCGGUGAAAUGCGUAGAGAUCGGGAGGAAUACCAGUGGCGAAGGCGGCCUUCUGGACUGACACUGACACUGAGGUGCGAAAGCGUGGGUAGCAAACAGGAUUAGAUACCCCAGUAGUC